RNAcentral lists this ribosomal RNA (482 nucleotides) under uncultured bacterium. Its description in RNAcentral is "bacterial SSU rRNA". It matches the Rfam family "Bacterial small subunit ribosomal RNA", at positions 29 to 521 of the family's 1533-position model. The record is from RNAcentral.
AUUGAACGCUGGCGGCAUGCCUAACACAUGCAAGUCGAACGGCAGCACAGCAGUAGCAAUACUGUGGGUGGCGAGUGGCGGACGGGUGAGGAAUACGUCGGAAUCUGCCCAGUCGUGGGGGAUAACUAGCCGAAAGGUUAGCUAAUACCGCAUACGACCGAGAGGUGGAAAGCGGGGGACCGCAAGGCCUCGCGCGAUUGGAUGAGCCGACGUCGGAUUAGCUAGUUGGCGGGGGUAAAGGCCCACCAAGGCGACGAUCCGUGGCUGGUCUGAGAGGAUGAUCAGCCACACUGGAACUGAGACACGGUCCAGACUCCUACGGGAGGCGAGCAGUGGGGAAUAUUGGACAAUGGGCGCAAGCCUGAUCCAGCCAUGCGCCGUGAGUGAUGAAGGCCCUAGGGUUGUAAAGCUCUUUUGUGCGGGAAGAUAAUGACGGUACCGCAAGAAUAAGCCCCGGCUAACUUCGUGCCAGCAGCCGCGGU